CGUACGUUGGCUGCUAAGUCAAGAAGGAAGCUUUCCUGAGCCUAGAGGUCGGAGUCGGUUUAAGUACUGCUGUAUCGUCAGAGUAGAGGAGUACCAGCUGCAACUGAAAGCCAACACUCACUGUUUGGGUCGCAAAGCCAGCGGAAUGAGUAAGCGCAACGGGCGUUCUUAUCGUCGGCGAUCUCUACUAGGCAACUUACUCAAUGUUAGCUAAAAUAACAGGAAGGAGUGCAAUAAAAGAUAAUUCCGUGGUCCAACUGAAUCACACCGAAGUCAUGGUAGCUCUCCAGUUCAGUCACACCACUUAGGAGUUGGUACCUGGAAAUUUUGUGUAAAUUAUUAAUUAGAGUAUGAGCUGAUCACGAGUCAAGUGGCGAUGCUGUUCUUAAAUUAAACCUUUUCUUUAAAUAUAUCCAAGAAUACUGUAAGCCUAAGGACAUGUUAAGAUAGAUUAGGUAGACCUGAUGGCUAGAAGAAGAGAAGAGGUAUCCCACUUUCUUCCUCUUCAGAUUUCUAACUGACAUAUUACAGAUACUGUGAACCUUUAAUAAUAUCUAUAUCAAAGGGCUCAUUAUUUAUUUUAUCUCUUGACGAUGAGAUACAGACAUCCUGCACUUAUAGUAAUAAAGUAAUAGUAAACUUGUAUAAGUUAACCUCACCAUUAUGUCUUUAGAUUUAGUUUACAAUAUUCAAUAUAAGCAGGCCGAUGGUUCCAUAUAGAAUUUAACAGAAAUGUGUCUACUUAAAUAGCUAUUAUUGGCACCUGCCAAUAUUUAUUAAUAAAUAAUUACUUUCGGCUUUAGCUAAAUAAUUUGACUUACUUGCUCAGUAAAUUAGGAAAUGAUUCCAUAGUUUGGGCAGGUUCGCUAGGUAUC
This is a long non-coding RNA of Pieris brassicae (large cabbage white), 875 nucleotides long. RefSeq lists it as uncharacterized. The transcript is spliced from 3 exons. The record is from RefSeq and is a predicted model, not a curated record. Lineage: Eukaryota; Metazoa; Arthropoda; Insecta; Lepidoptera; Pieridae.